This is a long non-coding RNA of Capra hircus (goat), 3497 nucleotides long. Lineage: Eukaryota; Metazoa; Chordata; Mammalia; Artiodactyla; Bovidae. The record is from Ensembl.
GUCAUAAAAUACUCAAUACAGUGGAUUGCACCAGACCCAAUGGAGGAAGGCUGCCUAUGAAGGUUGAUUUAAUGAUGAGUGAUUUUGCUGAGGAGCAUCAGGCUUUCCGAUGACUUUCAGUGGUGGAAAGUUUACUGAGGAAUGGAAAGCCCAGUUCAUUAAAACAGAAAGGAAGAAACUCCUGAACUACAAGGCUCGGCUGGUGAAGGACCUACAACCCCGAAUUUAUUGCCCCUUUGCUGGGUAUUUUGUGGAAUCCCACCCAUCAGACAAGUACAUUAAGGAAACAAACAUCAAAAAUGACCCAGAUGAACUCAACAAUCUUAUCAAGAAAAAUUCUGAUGUGUUAACAUGGACACCGCGACCUGGAGCCACUCUUGAUCUGGGUAGGAUGCUAAAGGAUCCAACAGACAGCAAAGGCAUCAUUGACCCUCCGGAGGGGACUAAAAUUUACAAGGAUUCCUGGGACUUUGGACCAUAUUUGAAAAUCUUGAAUGCUGCUGUAGGAGAUGAAAUAUUUCAUCAUCCAUCCUGGAUAAAAGAAUACUUCACUUGGGCUGGAUUUAAGGAUUAUAACCUGGUGGUCAGGAUGAUUGAGACAGAUGAGGACUUCAGCCCUUUUCCUGGAGGAUAUGACUAUUUGGUUGACUUUCUAGAUUUAUCCUUUCCAAAAGAAAGACCAAGCCGGGAACAUCCAUAUGAGGAAAUUCGGAGCCGGGUUGACGUCAUCAGACACGUGGUGAAGAAUGGCCUGCUCUGGGAUGACCUGUAUAUAGGAUUCCAAACCCGGCUCCAGCGGGAUCCUGACAUAUACCAUCAUCUGUUUUGGAACCAUUUUCAAAUAAAACUCCCCCUAACACCACCCAACUGGAAGUCCUUCCUAAUAUACUGUGGGGAGAGAGGACCUGAGAUCUCCCAGGGAUACUAAGCUGCAUGAAAAAUUCAAGUAUUCACUGAUGCUGUAUCUUGAACAUGAAGCUUAUACCAAAGAGACUAUGUAUGCCUUACUGACAUCAGCAAUGGAUAAUCAAAUGUUGUGUUUGUGAAAUGUUCACAUAUCUUAUGUUUGUGGAUCACUACAUAGCCAGAGUAUUGAUAUUUUAAUUAUUCUGUCCAUAAUUUUCUGUAAAAGAACCCAUGAAUGCCAUAGGAACAAAUUCUCUAUGGAAAACAAAGACAACAGGGGAUGUAAAUCCAAGUACAGAAGAAGUAGAACAGGAGGAGAAAAGGUUUCCUAGAAGACAAGGAGAAGACAAGGGUUGGGGAGCAGAUGCUGGGUUAGAAGAAGAGAAGAAAGGAGAGAAACAGAUAAAUGAGGGGCUGUAAGAAGAAAAUAAGGAAGAGAAAAAGUUAAAAUGGAACUUAAAAAGAAGGUAAACAUAGACAUUUUGUUCCUUAAUAGAUUGACUCCCCAGAUAGAGUCCAUGAAUAUAACUGAGUAAGAAGCAUUCAUGAGCUGUUUGCAGUUUUUGAAAAAGUUUCGUUGAAGUCAUAUAUUUACCAAAACAAGGCUGCAGAGGCUACCCAAGAUGUAAAAUUUCAUUGGGACUGAAAUAAUUUUGGUUCAGUGAUAAAAAUUUAUUACUUAAUGUAUAUUAUAAAUUCUAACAAAUAAUGGUAUCUUUGAAUAAAAUAUAUGAACACUAGCUAAUGAUCAAGUGAGUCCUAUAGACAAAAAUCUUUCAAUCUCAAUAGAAUAAUCAACAGUCGAGCCUAUAUCUUGAAGAAAUUAAGAAGUCCUCUUCUGAAUACUUGAAAACACUGUUGCAGUGGUUAAAACCCACAACUAAUGUAUCUGUUUCUGUUAAUGUCUGUAGUUUUUGAUGAUUUUCCUGUGAUUAGCACACUAUCUCUAGGAAUAUGUGAUUGUUGACUAUGUUUCUAUUUUAAUAUUGAUGUUUCCAGUACACACAAACCUCUCAUUGAUCUGAACAUCAGAACUGAUUUCCUAAUUAUGUAUACUACCUCUUUAACUCUGAAGAUUAAGAUUUAAGAUUCUCCUUAAAUCUCAUGAUUAUCUACUUCUUACAAAGAUAAUAAUAUGAUAUUUGAUGUCUCUGAUUCACUUCAUACAUUCUACCUAAGUUUUGUGAUUUAUGCUCUAUAGUAAAUUAUUCAAUUAUUACUGAAAAAUAAAUGUAAUGUAUGUCAGUAUAUGAAUAUAUGAUAAAAUGUGUAUGAGGAGCAAAUAAAAGAUUAUUUUAAAAUAUGGAUGUUUUCUUACCACCAAGCCUAUCUUUAUUUUCAUGCUGUCUUCCUAGCUAUCAUCUUCUGAUACCCUGACUCCAGCAAUUCUUUGAUAUUACAAGACCUUUAGUCCAUUGACCCUGCAUGUCCUCACUUUUCUUCUUAGUCAUCUUCGAUUCUUUUCCACUUGUGUCCACAUCACCCUCUUUUGUCAUUUUUCUACCUUACCUGCCCUCUUUCCCUUUCUCAUAUCUCAGAUCUCAUUUCCAUGACUUCCAAACUAUGAGAUCAUUCUUUAUACUUUGCCCUAACAUCCACUGUAUCAACAGAUCCCAUCACCUUUACUUUCAAAAUAUACCCAGAGUAUAACCUCUUUCCACCAUCUCCACUGCUAUCAACAUCAGGAUAAAACAGAAACCCACAGAGGUAAUCUUGGCAUUAGGGGCUGGUUUUCUUUAUGCCAUGGAGAGGGCAGGAGGAGAAGGGGACGACAGAGGAUGAGAUGGUUGGAUGGCAUCACCGACUCAAUGGACAUGGGUUUGGGUGGACUCUGGGAGUUGGUGAUGGACAGGGAGGCCUGGCAUGCUGUGGUUCAUGGGGUCGCAAAGAGUCGGACACGACUGAGUGACUGAACUGAACUGAACUGAACUGAACUGACUGGAUAGGCAUCUGUUCCUGCCAAGAAAGGCGAACAAGCCGAAUGCCUUGAAACAAGCUCAGAGCCAUUCAAGGAGAUGCUGGGAAAGCCAUCUUUAGGGAGGUGACUUGCAGACUGCACAAUCCUAAAGCUACUUUAGAGGGUACCAGGGUAACAGCUAGCAGCUGGGAACUGUUGCUCAUCUCAUAUUUCAGGAGCCCAAGUCUGAAGAAACAAAAGAACAGAAACCACUUCCUUCUCUAGUGCUCCUCUAGUGCCCUCUACAGACAAAGCUUAACUUCAUACUAGCUGUCGUUUUUUGUUCUUGUUUUUGUUUUUGAUUUUAUUUUUUUACUUUACAAUACUGUAUUGGUUUUGCCAUACAUUGACAUGAAUCCACCACAAGUGUACAUGAGUUCCCAACCCCGAACCCCCCUCCCACCACCCUCCCCUUAUCAUCUCUCUGGGUCAUCCCAGUGCACCAGCCCCAAGCAUCCUGUAUCGAACAUAGACUAGCGAUUUGCUUCUUACAUGAUAGUAUACAUGUUUCAAUGCCCUUCUCCCAAAUCAUCCCACCCUCUCCCUCUCCCACAGAGUCCAAAAGACUGUUCUAUACAUCUGUGUCUCUUUUGCUGUCUCGCAUAUAGGGUUAUCAUUACCAUCUUUCUAAAUU